RNAcentral lists this ribosomal RNA (253 nucleotides) under uncultured bacterium. Its description in RNAcentral is "partial 16S ribosomal RNA". It matches the Rfam family "Bacterial small subunit ribosomal RNA", at positions 524 to 776 of the family's 1533-position model. The record is from RNAcentral.
GACAGAGGUGCCAAGCGUUAGGCGGAAUCACUGGGCUUAAAGCGUGUGUAGGCGGACUGUUAAGUACCUUGUGAAAUCCCACGGCUCAACCGUGGAACUGCUCGGUAUACUGGCGGUCUUGAGCUGCUUAGGGGUCGUCGGAACAAGCGGCGGAGCGGUGAAAUGCGUAGAUAUCAGAAGGAACGCCGGUGGCGAAAGCGACUCUCUGGCUCGUAUCUGACGCUGAAGCGCGAAAGCUUGGGUAGCAAACGGG